GACGAACGCUGGCGGCGUGCCUCAUACAUGCAAGUCGAGCGGAUGCAGCAAUGCAUUAGCGGCGGACGGGUGAGUAACACGUGGGCAACCUGGCCUUAAGAGGGGGAUAACGUCCCGAAAGGGACGCUAAUACCGCGUAAAUCAGCGAAAUCGCAUGAUUUUGUUGGAAAAGGAGUAAUCCGCUUAAGGAUGGGCCCGCGGCCUAUUAGCUAGUUGGUAGGGUAAUGGCCUACCAAGGCUGUGAUGGGUAGCCGGCCUGAGAGGGUGAUCGGCCACACUGGAACUGAGACACGGUCCAGACUCCUACGGGAGGCAG
RNAcentral lists this ribosomal RNA (316 nucleotides) under uncultured Bacillota bacterium. RNAcentral's name for it is "bacterial SSU rRNA". It matches the Rfam family "Bacterial small subunit ribosomal RNA", at positions 28 to 351 of the family's 1533-position model. Lineage: Bacteria; Bacillati; Bacillota. The record is from RNAcentral.